This 497-nucleotide ribosomal RNA is filed under the name uncultured bacterium. RNAcentral's name for it is "partial 16S ribosomal RNA". It matches the Rfam family "Bacterial small subunit ribosomal RNA", at positions 28 to 507 of the family's 1533-position model. The record is from RNAcentral.
GAUGAACGCUGGCGGCGUGCCUAAUACAUGCAAGUCGAGCGAACAGACGAGGAGCUUGCUCCUCUGACGUUAGCGGCGGACGGGUGAGUAACACGUGGAUAACCUACCUAUAAGACUGGGAUAACUUCGGGAAACCGGAGCUAAUACCGGAUAAUAUAUUGAACCGCAUGGUUCAAUAGUGAAAGACGGUUUUGCUGUCACUUAUAGAUGGAUCCGCGCCGCAUUAGCUAGUUGGUAAGGUAACGGCUUACCAAGGCAACGAUGCGUAGCCGACCUGAGAGGGUGAUCGGCCACACUGGACCGGAGACACGGUCCAGACUCCUACGGGAGGCAGCAGUAGGGAAUCUUCGGCAAUGGGCGAAAGCCGGACGGAGCAACGCCGCGUGAGUGAUGAAGGUCUUCGGAUCGUAAAACUCUGUUAUUAGGGAGGAACAAAUGUGUAAGUAACUAUGCACGUCUUGACGGUACCUAAUCAGAAAGCCACGGCUAACUACGUG